This is a long non-coding RNA of Zophobas morio, 344 nucleotides long. RefSeq lists it as uncharacterized. The record is from RefSeq and is a predicted model, not a curated record. Lineage: Eukaryota; Metazoa; Arthropoda; Insecta; Coleoptera; Tenebrionidae. The transcript is spliced from 4 exons.
CCAUUUGUUGAAACUUAUAGUGACUCAAGCAUCUUAGCUUUUCAUGUAUAGACUUCCUAGGAGUCGCGAAGUAGCAUUUCACCCUUGCUGAAACAUCGACCUCAGCUUUUAUUAGCGAACGGGCCAGGAAUUUGUGUCCCACCCUUUGUUCUCGUUGGAAUCUUCAAGUUCUUUGGAUUAUUAAACACUCAAUGUAUAUUCGUGGAGAGCAUUGCUAGGGUCAAAACACUAUCUCUAUCAGGCUUGAUAAUAUAUUAUUUGCGCCUUUCUGAUUGGUUUAUUGUCCAAUGGCUUCCGCUAAACCAAAGAUACAGACGUUCUUCAUAUCUUGGGCGUCUAGUAUA